This 442-nucleotide ribosomal RNA is filed under the name uncultured bacterium. RNAcentral describes it as "partial 16S ribosomal RNA". It matches the Rfam family "Bacterial small subunit ribosomal RNA", at positions 339 to 795 of the family's 1533-position model. The record is from RNAcentral.
CUACGGGGCGCUCCAGUGGGGAAUAUUGGGCAAUGGGCGCAAGCCUGACCCAGCAACGCCGCGUGAGGGAAGAAGGUUUUCGGAUUGUAAACCUCUGUCCUUGGGGACGAAGAAGUGACGGUACCCAAGGAGGAAGCUCCGGCUAACUACGUGCCAGCAGCCGCGGUAAUACGUAGGGAGCAAGCGUUGUCCGGAAUUACUGGGCGUAAAGGGUGCGUAGGCGGCAUAUUAAGUCAGGUGUGAAAUACUCGGGCUCAACCCGGGGGCUGCAUUUGAAACUGAUAUGCUUGAGGUGUGAGAGAGGAAAGUGGAAUUCCUAGUGUAGCGGUGGAAUGCGUAGAUAUUAGGAGGAACACCAGUGGCGAAGGCGACUUUCUGGCUCAUAACUGACGCUGAGGCACGAAAGCGUGGGGAGCAAACAGGAUUAGAUACCCCGGUAGUC